AUUGAACGCUGGCGGCAGGCCUAACACAUGCCAGUCGAGCGGUAGAGAGAAGCUUGCUUCCCUUUAGAGCGGCGGACGGGUGGGUAAUUCCUAGGAAUCUGCCUGUUAGUUGUGUAUAACGUUCUGAAACGGACGCUAAUACCGCAUACGUCCUACGGGAGAAAGCAGGGGACCUUCGGGCCUUGCGCUAUCAGAUGAUCCUAGGUCGGAUUAUCUAGUUGGUGGGGUAAUGGCUCACCAAGGCGACGAUCCGUAACUGGUCUGAGAGGAUGAUCAGUCACACUGGAACUGAGACACGGUCCAGACUCCUAAGGGAGGCAGCAGUGGGGAAUAUUGGACAAUGGGCGAAAGCCUGAUCCAGCCAUGCCGCGUGUGUGAAGAAGGUCUUCGGAUUGUAAAGCACUUUUAGUUGGGAGGAAGGGCAGUAAAUUAAUACUUUGCUGUUUUGACGUUACCGACAGAAUAAGCACCGGCUAACUCUGUG
Molecule: ribosomal RNA, 484 nt
Filed under: uncultured bacterium
Lineage: Bacteria
Description: partial 16S ribosomal RNA
Rfam family: Bacterial small subunit ribosomal RNA
Source: RNAcentral